RNAcentral lists this long non-coding RNA (264 nucleotides) under Elaeis guineensis (African oil palm). Its description in RNAcentral is "long non-coding RNA (EGUI_LNC002113)". The record is from RNAcentral. Lineage: Eukaryota; Viridiplantae; Streptophyta; Magnoliopsida; Arecales; Arecaceae.
GUACAAGAUCGCUGCAGACACACAACGUCACUCGUGAGGCAUAACUAACUAGACCCUUGAAAUACCACUGAAGAGCCCUAGAUGUCAUAGGCACACGCUCACCGUUGGCACACACUGCCUCUUCAGAAGAAGAAUAAAAAGACGGAUAACGUAUAGUCAGAGGCAUUAUCUCAACAGUACUCCUUUCGCUUGAGGCAUUAUCUCAGACUCAGGAGUAGGGGGGUAGUGUUGAGAUGAUUAUUAUGAUGCCUCAGAUCCAUGGAC